This 365-nucleotide ribosomal RNA is filed under the name uncultured bacterium. RNAcentral's name for it is "bacterial SSU rRNA". It matches the Rfam family "Bacterial small subunit ribosomal RNA", at positions 29 to 384 of the family's 1533-position model. The record is from RNAcentral.
AAUGAACGCUGGCGGCGCGCCUAAUACAUGCAAGUCGAGCGAGAAGACGUAGCAAUACGUUUGUAAAGCGGCGAACGGGUGAGGAAUACACGGGUAACCUACCCUCGAGUGGGGAAUAACUAGCCGAAAGGUUAGCUAAUACCGCGUACGCUCCUUGGACUUCGGUUCAGGGAGGAAAGCGAUACCGUGGGUAUCGCGCUCUUGGUUGGGCUCAUGUCCUAUCAGCUUGUUGGUGAGGUAACGGCUCACCAAGGCUUCGACGGGUAGCUGGUCUGAGAGGACGAUCAGCCACACUGGCAUUGCGACACGGGCCAGACUCCUACGGGAGGCAGCAGUAAGGAAUAUUGCGCAAUGGGCGAAAGCCU